Molecule: ribosomal RNA, 477 nt
Filed under: Tubuca rosea
Lineage: Eukaryota; Metazoa; Arthropoda; Malacostraca; Decapoda; Ocypodidae
Description: partial large subunit ribosomal RNA
Rfam family: Bacterial large subunit ribosomal RNA
Source: RNAcentral
GGGCCGCGGUAAUUUGACCGUGCAAAGGUAGCAUAAUCGUUAGUUUUUUAAUUGGAAUCUUGUAUGAAUGGUUGAACAAAAGAAUGACUGUCUCUAUAUCUUUUUUGAAUUUAACUUUUAAGUGAAAAGGCUUAAAUGUUUUAAAAAGACGAUAAGACCCUGUAAAGCUUGAUAAGUUUUAUUAUUUAAUUGAAUUAUUUUAUAUAAAAAUUUAGUAAGAGCGGCUUAUUUUAUUGGGGCGGUAAUGAUAAAAUGUGUUUAACUGUUGAUAAAAGAAAACAAAGUUUAUUGUAUAAAGUGUAUAAAUGAUCCUUAAGUUAAGAUUAAAAGUUUAAGUUACUUUAGGGAUAACAGCGUUAUUUUUCUUGAGAGUUCAUAUCGAAAGAAAAGUUUGCGACCUCGAUGUUGAAUUAAACAUUCGUAUAUGAUUGCAGAAGUUAUAGUAGAGGCUCGGUCCGACCUUUAAAUUUUUACAUG